CACUUUCUUUUGUUGACACUUCUUUUAUAUGCAAAUUAUUAUGUAACUCUGUUAUAUACAAGUAGCAUAAUUUUUUAUAUUCUAUGGCCAAUUGUCAAGAAAGGGUAAUUCUACUUGGAGUCUUCAACCUUUGAUAAAGGUGAUAUUUGAGUUCCCAAUUGACCAAAUAUAGCACCAGAGUGCUUAACCUUUCAAAACUGGGCAAGAGUGGUCCGUACACGAGUAAAAAUGUUGGCUAAAGCCCCUUGGACAACCCCCUGGACGUCCAGGGCGUUGUCACCCAAGAAUAGCUCAAAAAUGUUACCUAUUGAGGACCAUGGUUGCACUGUUUCGAAAUGAUAGGUAUUCGGAUUGCACAUUUGAUAGGUCGAGGAUCCAGCAGUCACACUCAUCAGAAGUUGGGCCUCCAUCUCGAACCAAAAAAAGGCCCACGUCCCAGUUCGGACCGGGCCUCAUUCCUUGCCCAACCGAGCUUAUCAAACUCGGGAGCACACAGAUUAAAUGGAACCAAAACCCUGUUAAUUUCCCGCCUAAAUCGAACACAGUAGCUUGCGGUCGCGGGGGAGCACACAAUAAUAAGGGAGAGGGUGCAUUUCGAAAUCGCUGCCUUGUUCAGUGAAAGUUUACAUUGCGACAGAGCUAACCAGCGGUUAUUUAUUAGGCAUUUUUUCAAAUUUAAGACCGCAGAACUGCAUUUAAUUCUCUUUUUGAUUUCAUAUUGAUCAAUUAUUUGAAUUUUAAGCUUUGAGCUUGUGAUAGGUUGACUCGGUGAAUUUCCGAAGAAAUUUUUAGUUUGUACCAUAUUGGCCCAUUUUUUGUGAAAAAUGAGUUUUAUAAUAGUUAUUUUUUGGAUAAAGCGUGUUUAAAAGGUAGGGAAAUAGUUUGGCUUUAUGUGCAAAAUUAUUUUAUUGGAAGAAUGUGUGACCGAAAAUAACAUUGGAGAAAAAUUUUGAGAUAAUGCGGCUCAAACAAGGGCUAAAAUUAGAAAUGGUUUGUUAUGUUAC
This 1004-nucleotide long non-coding RNA is filed under the name Olea europaea subsp. europaea. The record is from RNAcentral. Lineage: Eukaryota; Viridiplantae; Streptophyta; Magnoliopsida; Lamiales; Oleaceae.